AACACGCACACGUAAAAAGAGAACACACCUUGAACCAAAAACGCUUUGGCAUCAGCUUUUCUUGGAAUCCAUUUUUUAAAUGGAUUUCCAAAGGAAAACGAGCCAAAAUAAAAACAAAUCGCUUUUGUGCUCUUUUUUUUUUUUUUUUGUAUUUAUUUGGCCACGACCGCAUAUAGCUUAACUUCCUUUCUUUUUUUUUGUUUUGUUUUUCUUCGUGCUCCAUGAAUUAUUUAUUCCUAUUUUACAUGAAGUCUUUGUUGUUUGCAUUACGUGGUCGUAGGGUGCCUUUCCUUUUUCAGAAGAAAACUACAUUUUUCCAUUUAUCCUUUUUUUGAUUUCUUUAUCUGCAAAGUUCCGUGUUUUGUUUUGCUUUCUAAAAGGACUAGAAACACUUCCCCUCAUUCUCUUGCUGAACCCUUUUUAUGUUUUGUUUGCUUCUUCUUCGCCUUGCGGCAUCCUCAGCUUCAAACCAUCGGCUAAACGCAGACACACGCUAGAAAGGCUUUGAUGAUAAUCGUUUCUGACUGGCCCGUAAACACUUGUUCAUUAACGUAGUCGUCGUUGUAGUGUGCAUAAGCAAGUAUUUUUUUUUUUCUCUCUAUCCCUUCAAGAAAAAAAAAAAACAUUUAUCGUUUACUACACAGCAGAAGACGUCAUAUUAAUCAGCCAAACUCUCUAUACGCUACAUAUACGUACAGCAACAUACAUACACACAAUGUAGUUGGUUGCCAGCCAAAACAAAAACAAAGUGUUUGUGACGCAGAACGUUGGGUUUCUUUGGAAUGAUCUCCGCUUGAUUAGUCAGCAAACAAACAAAAAAAAAAAAAAAAAAAAAAAAAAAGUACAAAAAGGGAACAAAAAAAAGAAAAAGCCAAACCAAGAAACAAAAAUGGUAGUGCUCGACUUUUUUUUUUCUUUUACUGCCUCCGGCUUACGUAUUCACCCCCUAAAUCACUCUGGCGGCGUAAUUUGGCAGGUAAGUAUAUUUUUCAUUUUGUUUGGUAAAAAAUGUUUUGAUUUAUCUUUUUAGUUUGUCCUGCUAGUCGGGAUUAUUAUUUAAAUUGCUAUUUAUCAAAUGGAAGCCUGAUUGUUGCAUUGUUAUCAAACAAAAUAAGAAAGAAAAAUAAUUGGGUGGAUUUGCAUUAUCUUUGCCUGAUAAAAUCUCUUUUUUUUUUAUCCUUGUUCUGUUGUGUUUUUGGUGAUUCGUGUUGACUGCUGUAGAAAUGAAAACUUAAAAAAACAAAACAAUUCUGUUAAUAAUGUUUUGAAUAAUUUCUACUCCUAUUUUGCAUGCAUCUCGGCUCUGCUUUGCCCGUCAUUUUUUUUUCCUGGCCUCAAUGGAUUCAUCCCCGGCGAAUCCGACACACGUCUUCAUGUGUGUUUAUGACCAAAAAAAAAAAAAAAAAAAAACAACUACGCAUGUGUUUCUUAAUUUGUUUUUGCCUGCCUGGAUUGCAAUAAUGUUUGGCAACCGUGUCUUCUGCCCGUGUAUUUUUGCUUGCAACGUCGGGAUGUCGUAUUUGCACGAACACAACCACUUCUUCUCUUGGUUGGUGGUGGUGGUGAAUGCUCUCUGGUGGUGGUUUUGCUAAUCGACAAAUAUACCCACAUCCCUACACUCUCGGAUAUUUGCAUUGUGAUGGCCGUCCUCACAGUUUCAACUAACGUUCUCAGUGUCAACUACACUGACGAACAAGGCCAAUUACUGGACACCCUCCCGGUAUGCCGCGAUUUUAAGUAUGGCGAAUGCAAGCGCGCUGCCUGCAAAUAUAUCCACCUUCUCGAUGAUCACGUGGAGAUAAC
Daphnia carinata is the source of this 1803-nucleotide long non-coding RNA. RefSeq lists it as uncharacterized. The transcript has 3 exons. NCBI's taxonomy places the organism in Eukaryota, Metazoa, Arthropoda, Branchiopoda, Diplostraca, Daphniidae. The record is from RefSeq and is a predicted model, not a curated record.